AUUGAACGCUGGCGGCAGGCCUAACACAUGCAAGUCGAGCGGAUGAAGGGAGCUUGCUCCUGGAUUCAGCGGCGGACGGGUGAGUAAUGCCUAGGAAUCUGCCUGGUAGUGGGGGAUAACGUCCGGAAACGGGCGCUGAUACCGCAUACGUCCUGAGGGAGAAAGUGGGGGAUCUUCGGACCUCACGCUAUCAGAUGAGCCUAGGUCGGAUUAGCUAGUUGGUGGGGUAAAGGCCUACCAAGGCGACGAUCCGUAACUGGUCUGAGAGGAUGAUCAGUCACACUGGAACUGAGACACGGACCAGACUCCUACGGGAGGCAGCAGUGGGGAAUAUUAGACAAUGGGCGAAAGCCUGAUCCAGCCAGGCCGCGUGUGUGAAGAAGGUCUUCGGAUUGGAAAGCACUUUAAGUUGGGAGGAAGGGCAGUAAGUUAAGACCAUGCUGUUUUGACGUUACCAACAGAAUAAGCACCGGCUAACUUCGUG
Molecule: ribosomal RNA, 484 nt
Filed under: uncultured bacterium
Lineage: Bacteria
Description: partial 16S ribosomal RNA
Rfam family: Bacterial small subunit ribosomal RNA
Source: RNAcentral